UGGGGAAUUUUGGACAAUGGGGGCAACCCUGAUCCAGCGACGCCGCGUGAAGGAUGAAGGUCUUCGGAUUGUAAACUUCUUUUAUAGGGGAUGAAUGACUUGGUGAAUAGCCAAGAAUGACAGUACCCUGUGAAUAAGCCACGGCUAACUACGUGCCAGCAGCCGCGGUAAUACGUAGGUGGCAAGCGAUACUCGGAAUCACUAGGCGUAAAGCGCAGGUAGGAGGUUUAGUAAGUCUGUUGUGAAAGCUCCCGGCUUAACUGGGAGAGGUCAACGGAAACUGCUAGGCUAGAGUGCGGUAGAGGUAGCUGGAAUUCCCGGUGUAGCGGUGAAAUGCGUAGAUAUCGGGAGGAAUACCUAUGGCGAAAGCAGGCUACUGGACCGUCACUGACUCUGAUCUGCGAAAGCUAGGGGAGCAAACAG
This 423-nucleotide ribosomal RNA is filed under the name uncultured bacterium. RNAcentral describes it as "bacterial SSU rRNA". It matches the Rfam family "Bacterial small subunit ribosomal RNA", at positions 355 to 775 of the family's 1533-position model. The record is from RNAcentral.